ACGGGGGGAGCAAGCGUUGUUCGGAAUCACUGGGCGUAAAGGGCGUGUAGGCGGUCAGGUAAGUGGAAUGUGAAAUGCCCCGGCUCACCCGGGGACCGGCAUCCCAAACUGCCUGGCUUGAGUAUGGGAGAGGAUGGAGGAAUUCCUGGUGUAGCGGUGAAAUGCGUAGAUAUCAGGAGGAACACCGGUGGCGAAGGCGUCCAUCUGGCCCAAUACUGACGCUGAGGCGCGAAAGCUAGGGGAGCAAACGG
Molecule: ribosomal RNA, 251 nt
Filed under: uncultured prokaryote
Description: partial 16S rRNA
Rfam family: Bacterial small subunit ribosomal RNA
Source: RNAcentral